AUUAGAACGCUGGCGGCAUGUCUUUACACAUGCAAGUCGAACGGCAGCGGCGGGGCAACCCUGGCGGCGAGUGGCGAACGGGUGAGUAAUGUAUCGGAACGUAUCCUGUAAGUGGGGGAUAACCAGUCGAAAGAUUGGGUAAUACCGCAUACGCACGAGAGUGGAAAGUAGGGGAUCGCAAGACCUUACGUUAUAGGAGCGGCCGAUAUCUGAUUAGCUAGUUGGUGGGGUAAAGGCCUACCAAGGCGACGAUCAGUAGCUGGUCUGAGAGGACGACCAGCCACACUGGGACUGAGACACGGCCCAGACUCCUACGGGAGGCAGCAGUGGGGAAUUUUGGACAAUGGGCGAAAGCCUGAUCCAGCCAUGCCGCGUGCAGGAAGAAGGCCUUCGGGUUGUAAACUGCUUUAGUCUAGGAAAAAGGGGUGCGAGGUUAAUACCCUCGUGCUUUGAUGGUACUGGAAGAAUAAGCACCGGCUAACUACGUG
RNAcentral lists this ribosomal RNA (488 nucleotides) under uncultured bacterium. Its description in RNAcentral is "bacterial SSU rRNA". It matches the Rfam family "Bacterial small subunit ribosomal RNA", at positions 31 to 507 of the family's 1533-position model. The record is from RNAcentral.